Molecule: ribosomal RNA, 370 nt
Filed under: Candovia peridromes
Lineage: Eukaryota; Metazoa; Arthropoda; Insecta; Phasmatodea; Lonchodidae
Description: partial small subunit ribosomal RNA
Source: RNAcentral
GUUAUACAAUAAAUAUUAAUUAAUAUUUUUGGUCUAUGUGAGUUAAUUUAUAUAUUUGAAUUUAAUAUAUUUAUUUUUAGGUGAAAUUUAAAUUUUUAUUAAUUUUAUUAAGAUUCUUUUAAGUAUAUAAUAUAAACUAGGAUUAGAUACCCUAUUAUAAUAUAUUUAAAUUUAUACCAGGGUAGUAUUAGUUAUGUUCUUUAAACCUAAAGAAUUUGGCGGUGUUUUAGUCUAUUUAGAGGAAUUUGUUCCUUAAUCGAUAGUCCUCGAUAUAUCUUGCUUAAUAUUUGUCUAUCAGUAUGUAUACCGCCGUUAUAAGUUUAUUUUAUGAAAAUUAAAAUUUACUUUAUUUUUAAUUAAAAUCUAUUUC